GAUGAAGAACGCAGCGAAAUGCGAUAAGUAAUGUGAAUUGCAGAAUUCAGUGAAUCAUCGAACCUUUGAACGCACAUUGCGCCCUCUGGUAUUCCGGGGGGCAUGCCUGUUCGAGCGUCAUUAUAACCACUCAAGCUCUCGCUUGGUAUUGGGGUUCGCGGUUCCGCGGCCCCUAAAAUCAGUGGCGGUGCCUGUCGGCUCUACGCGUAGUAAUACUCCUCGCGAUUGAGUCCGGUAGGUAUACUUGCCAGCAACCCCCAAUUUUUACAGGUUGACCUCGGAUCAGGUAGGGAUACCCGCUGAACUUAAGCAUAUCAAUAAGCGGAGGA
Molecule: unclassified non-coding RNA, 329 nt
Filed under: soil metagenome
Description: partial contains 5.8S ribosomal RNA, internal transcribed spacer 2, and large subunit ribosomal RNA
Rfam family: 5.8S ribosomal RNA (bases 1-120)
Source: RNAcentral